CCUGGCUGCAUCCUCCAGCUUAACUCUUCCCUCUCUCCUAUUUCAGGCAAUAUCUGACUCAAAAUUAAGUAAUCUGCCAGGAACCAGGUUGUGGUGGCCAAGUCAAGAGUGUUGGGUACUUGAAUGACUCCCAGGCAUCAUGGGAAGCAGAAAUUGGAAAGCCUUCAGAACUGGGAGCUGUCCAGCUGUCUGCCCAUCCCCCACCACCACACUCCUACUCCCCUCCAGGCAUGGAAGUUUCUUCUUUCUGCAUCAAUUAUAGUAAGUGUUGUUCAGGAUAUAAAGUUGAAUGUCAACAGACCUUUUCUUCAAGGAGCACAGUACAUCGGAUACAUCCAUGGAAGCUCCAUUAAAAGGUAAGACAGCUUACUGAGUUUGGAGAAGGAACAAAGAGACUUUUCC
RNAcentral lists this long non-coding RNA (402 nucleotides) under Homo sapiens (human). RNAcentral describes it as "HSALNT0155369". Lineage: Eukaryota; Metazoa; Chordata; Mammalia; Primates; Hominidae. The record is from RNAcentral.